GCCUUCGGGGUGUAGUGGUCAGCACGCCAGACGUAUAACUGAGAGGUCCGUGGUUCGAUUCCCGGCGAAGGCG
Molecule: transfer RNA, 73 nt
Filed under: Stegodyphus mimosarum
Lineage: Eukaryota; Metazoa; Arthropoda; Arachnida; Araneae; Eresidae
Rfam family: tRNA
About the family: Transfer RNA (tRNA) molecules are approximately 80 nucleotides in length.
Source: Rfam by way of RNAcentral